GCUGGUUGGCGGCGUAAGCGCCGCCGCCCGCCUCAACCAAACCUGCCCGGCCCUGGAAUGUGCUUCAGCUCCUCCCAUUCCCCUGCCGCUUCAUGACGGCUGGGCUCACAGACUUGUAAAUAGAAACGGAACCCUGACAGUGAAGGAAUGUGUGCGUCUGCAGUUAUGGAAGGAUACUUGUGGAAUAUAGCCAUCUUCAGUUGUGACUGGAAAUGCCAUUUUUAAGCAUGAAUGAAGAUAGAAGGAACUUGAUAGUAUGUGUGCCUAGAUUCAGAAGAUGGAUCUUCUACCAGACAAAUACAGUCUUGCAAUUGCCUUGAUAUUGCCCCAGGAUAUGAUUUGGAGUAUAUCAGCCCUGAGAAGACAAUAUGGAACCAGAGGAUUCUGUUACACCAGUGGACUCUCACGCAGCAUGCUACGGCUGUUUGCUUCUCUUUUCCUCCCUUCUUUGCUCUGUCUUGCGCUCUACUUCCGAGGAGGCACCAAAUCGAACUCCGCACACCGAAUGCUCAAUUGGAAGGAUAGGGUAAGGCUUAGCCAUCUCUCUCUCUCUCUCUCUCUCUCUCUCUGGGCUCCCUCACCUCUU
Long non-coding RNA from Hemicordylus capensis (graceful crag lizard), 586 nucleotides. RefSeq lists it as uncharacterized. Lineage: Eukaryota; Metazoa; Chordata; Lepidosauria; Squamata; Cordylidae. The record is from RefSeq and is a predicted model, not a curated record. The transcript is spliced from 3 exons.